GUCAGUGUGGUGUAGUGAUUUGAACAUUCGACAAUUACUCUGAAGAACAGGGUUUGAAUCCCUGCUCAGCCA
Molecule: non-coding RNA, 72 nt
Organism: Phrynosoma platyrhinos (Desert horned lizard)
Lineage: Eukaryota; Metazoa; Chordata; Lepidosauria; Squamata; Phrynosomatidae
Source: the annotation of a GenBank genome assembly